AGAGUUUGAUCCUGGCUCAGAGUGAACGUUGGCGGCGUGCCUAACACAUGCAAGUCGAACGCGUCUUGGGGGGCAACUCCUGAGAUGAGUGGCGAACGGGUGAGUAACACGUGAGUAAUCUACCCUCGAGUGAGGAAUAACCCCGCGAAAGCGGAGCUAAUACCGCAUAAUACUCUGGAGCGUAAGCUCUCAGAGUCAAAGCUUUCCGAGCAAUCGGGCAGCGCUUGAGGAUGAGCUUGCGGCCUAUUAGCUUGUUGGUGAGGUAACGGCUCACCAAGGCAAAGAUGGGUAGCCGGCUUGAGAGGGUGUACGGCCUCACUGGGACUGAGAUACGGCCCAGACUCCUACGGGAGGCAGCAGUGGGGAAUCUUGCGCAAUGGGCGAAAGCCUGACGCAGCGACGCCGCGUGGAGGAUGAAAGCCUUCGGGUUGUAAACUCCUGUCAGAGGAGAAGAAUCUCCGAGCAAUCGGAGUUGACGGUAUCCUCAGAGGAAGCCCCGGCUAACUACGUGCCAGCAGCCGCGGUAAAACGUAGGGGGCAAACGUUACUCGGAAUUACUGGGCGUAAAGGGUGUGUAGGUGGCUGAGCAAGUCAAUGAUGAAAUCCCAAGGCUCAACCUUGGAAUUGUUGUUGAAACUGCUCAGCUUGAGGAUAGUCGAGGAGAACGGAAUUCCCGGUGGAGCGGUGAAAUGCGUAGAUAUCGGGAGGAACACCAGAGGCGAAGGCGGUUCUCUGGGCUAUUCCUGACACUGAAACACGAAAGCUAGGGGGAGCAAACGGGGAUUUAGAUACCCCGGUAG
This 800-nucleotide ribosomal RNA is filed under the name uncultured bacterium. Its description in RNAcentral is "bacterial SSU rRNA". It matches the Rfam family "Bacterial small subunit ribosomal RNA", at positions 8 to 793 of the family's 1533-position model. The record is from RNAcentral.